UGUGUAGGCGGGUCGUUAAGUACCUUGUGAAAUCCCACGGCUCACCCGUGGAACUGCUGGGUAUACUGGCGAUCUUGGGCCAUUCAGGGGCAACUGGAACAAGCGGUGGAGCGGUGAAAUGCGUAGAUAUCGCUUGGAACGCCAAAGGUGAAAACAGGUUGCUGGGAAUGUGCCGACGCUGAGACACGAAAGCCAGGGGAGCAAACGGGAUUAGAUACCCCGGUAGUCCUGGCCCUAAACGAUGUCCACUAGAUUGCGGCGGGUUUGACCCCGUCGCGGUCGAAGCAAAAGUGUUAAGUGGACCGCCUGGGAAGUACGGUCGCAAGGCUAAA
Molecule: ribosomal RNA, 332 nt
Filed under: uncultured Planctomycetota bacterium
Lineage: Bacteria; Pseudomonadati; Planctomycetota
Description: bacterial SSU rRNA
Rfam family: Bacterial small subunit ribosomal RNA
Source: RNAcentral